UACGAAGGGGUGCAAGCGUUACUCGGAAUUACUGGGCGUAAAAGCGUGCGUAGGUGGUUUUGUUAAGUCUGUUGUGAAAAGCCCUGGGCUCAACCUGGGAAUUGCAUUGGAUACUGGCAGGCUAGAGUGCGGUAGAGGAUGGCGGAAUUCCCGGUGUAGCAGUGAAAUGCGUAGAGAUCGGGAGGAACAUCUGUGGCGAAGGCGGCCAUCUGGACCAGCACUGACACUGAGGCACGAAAGCGUGGGGGAGCAAACAGG
RNAcentral lists this ribosomal RNA (258 nucleotides) under uncultured bacterium. RNAcentral's name for it is "partial 16S ribosomal RNA". It matches the Rfam family "Bacterial small subunit ribosomal RNA", at positions 524 to 776 of the family's 1533-position model. The record is from RNAcentral.